RNAcentral lists this ribosomal RNA (465 nucleotides) under uncultured bacterium. RNAcentral's name for it is "partial 16S ribosomal RNA". It matches the Rfam family "Bacterial small subunit ribosomal RNA", at positions 338 to 795 of the family's 1533-position model. The record is from RNAcentral.
CCUACGGGAGGCAGCAGUGGGGAAUAUUGCACAAUGGGCGCAAGCCUGAUGCAGCCAUGCCGCGUGUAUGAAUAAGGCCCUCGGGUUGUAAAGUACCUUCAGCGGGGAGGACGGGAGUAAAGUUAAUACCUUUGCUCAUUGACGUUACCCGCAGAAGAAGCACUGGCUAACUCCGUGCCAGCAGCCGCGGUAAUACGGAGGGUGCAAGCGGUAAUCGGAAUUACUGGGCGUAAAGCGGACGCAGGCGGUUUGUUAAGUCAGAUGGGAAAUCCCCGGGGCCAACCUGGGAACUGCAGCUGAUACUGGCAAGCUUGAGUCUCGUAGAGGGGGGUAGAAUUCCAGGUGUAGCGGUGAAAUGCGUAGAGAUCUGGAAGAAUACCGAUGGCGAAGGCGGCCCCCUGGACGAAGACUGACGCUCAGGUGCGAAAGCGUGGGGAGCAAACAGGAUUAGAUACCCUUGUAGUC